UAGCGGAGGAAARGAAACCAACAGGGAUUGCCUCAGUAACGGCGAGUGAAGCGGCAAAAGCUCAAAUUUGAAAUCUAGUGCUUUCAGUACUCGAGUUGUAAUUUGAAGAUGGCAACUUUGGGCGUGGCCUUUAUCUAUGUUCCUUGGAACAGGACGUCACAGAGGGUGAGAAUCCCGUCUGAUGAGGUGACCCACGCCUUUGUAAAGUGCCUUCGAAGAGUCGAGUUGUUUGGGAAUGCAGCUCUAAGUGGGUGGUAAAUUCCAUCUAAAGCUAAAUAUUGGCGAGAGACCGAUAGCGAACAAGUACAGUGAUGGAAAGAUGAAAAGAACUUUGAAAAGAGAGUGAAAAAGUACGUGAAAUUGUUGAAAGGGAAGGGUAUUAGAUCAGACUUGGCGGUUGUUGAAAAUCAGUCCCUUGUGGAUUGUGCACUCAACAGCAGCUGGGCCAGCAUCGAUUGGAGUGGUUGGAUAAGGGUUGUUGGAACGUGGCACCCUUCGGGGUGUGUUAUAGCCUUCAGCACAUACGACCUACUUCGAUCGAGGACUGCGUCUUUUGACUAGGAUGCUGGCGUAAUGAUCUAAUAUCGCCCGUCUUAA
Molecule: ribosomal RNA, 597 nt
Filed under: Wickerhamomyces orientalis
Lineage: Eukaryota; Fungi; Ascomycota; Saccharomycetes; Phaffomycetales; Wickerhamomycetaceae
Description: eukaryotic LSU rRNA
Rfam family: Eukaryotic large subunit ribosomal RNA
Source: RNAcentral